This 254-nucleotide ribosomal RNA is filed under the name uncultured bacterium. Its description in RNAcentral is "partial 16S ribosomal RNA". It matches the Rfam family "Bacterial small subunit ribosomal RNA", at positions 524 to 776 of the family's 1533-position model. The record is from RNAcentral.
UACGUAGGGUGCGAGCGUUGUCCGGAAUUAUUGGGCGUAAAGAGCUCGUAGGCGGUCUGUCGCGUCGGUCGUGAAAACUUGGGGCUUAACCCUGAGCUUGCGGUCGAUACGGGCAUGACUGGAGUUCGGCAGGGGAGACUGGAAUUCCUGGUGUAGCGGUGAAAUGCGCAGAUAUCAGGAAGAACACCCGUGGCGAAGGCGGCUCUCUGGGACGGUACUGACGCUGAGACGCGAAAGCGUGGGGAGCGAACAGG